CCUUAUCGUCGCGACCCC
This 18-nucleotide ribosomal RNA is filed under the name Urvillea chacoensis. RNAcentral describes it as "partial 26S ribosomal RNA". Lineage: Eukaryota; Viridiplantae; Streptophyta; Magnoliopsida; Sapindales; Sapindaceae. The record is from RNAcentral.